CGGGAUCCGUCCCGUUGGAAAGGAAUGUAGCUCACCAAUGAGCCGAACCUUACA
Molecule: non-coding RNA, 54 nt
Filed under: unclassified sequences
Description: eL15-Euryarchaeota ribosomal protein leader
Rfam family: eL15-Euryarchaeota ribosomal protein leader
Source: RNAcentral